Long non-coding RNA from Tripterygium wilfordii, 236 nucleotides. RefSeq lists it as uncharacterized. The record is from RefSeq and is a predicted model, not a curated record. The transcript is spliced from 3 exons. Lineage: Eukaryota; Viridiplantae; Streptophyta; Magnoliopsida; Celastrales; Celastraceae.
GGUACUGCCCUGGUGGAUUAUGCCUUUCAAGGUCAAUUGGUGACCCAAAUGUGGGAGAGUUCAUCGUCCCAAUACCACAUGUCAAACAAGUAGAGCUUUCAACUGCUGGAGGAAGGCUUAUUGGCAUCUGGGAUACUCUAUCCUCUGAUGUGGCUGCCAACCAAGUCUUGUCGGGGUUUACCUGCUGAGCUUGCUGCAAAGCUGGUAGUUAAGGAGGCUCUAAGAUCAAGGGGCCU